GUGGCGAACGGGUGAGUAACACGUGGGCAAUCUGCCCUGCACUCUGGGACAAGCCCUGGAAACGGGGUCUAAUACCGGAUAUGACUACCGGCCGCAUGGUCUGGUGGUGGAAAGCUCCGGCGGUGCAGGAUGAGCCCGCGGCCUAUCAGCUUGUUGGUGGGGUGAUGGCCUACCAAGGCGACGACGGGUAGCCGGCCUGAGAGGGCGACCGGCCACACUGGGACUGAGACACGGCCCAGACUCCUACGGGAGGCAGCAGUGGGGAAUAUUGCACAAUGGGCGAAAGCCUGAUGCAGCGACGCCGCGUGAGGGAUGACGGCCUUCGGGUUGUAAACCUCUUUCAGCAGGGAAGAAGCGAAAGUGACGGUACCUGCAGAAGAAGCGCCGGCUAACUACGUGCCAGCAGCCGCGGUAAUACGUAGGGCGCGAGCGUUGUCCGGAAUUAUUGGGCGUAAAGAGCUCGUAGGCGGCUUGUCGCGUCGGAUGUGAAAGCCCGGGGCUUAACCCCGGGUCUGCA
RNAcentral lists this ribosomal RNA (517 nucleotides) under Streptomyces sp. 645271. RNAcentral describes it as "bacterial SSU rRNA". It matches the Rfam family "Bacterial small subunit ribosomal RNA", at positions 95 to 625 of the family's 1533-position model. Lineage: Bacteria; Bacillati; Actinomycetota; Actinomycetes; Kitasatosporales; Streptomycetaceae. The record is from RNAcentral.